CCUACGGGUGGCAGCAGUGAGGAAUAUUGGUCAAUGGUCGGGAGACUGAACCAGCCAAGCCGCGUGAGGGAUGAAGGUACAGAGUAUCGUAAACCUCUUUUGUCAGGGAACAAAGGCGGGGACGCGUCCCCGGAUGAGUGUACCUGAAGAAAAAGCAUCGGCUAACUCCGUGCCAGCAGCCGCGGUAAUACGGAGGAUGCGAGCGUUAUCCGGAUUUAUUGGGUUUAAAGGGUGCGCAGGCGGUCCGUUAAGUCAGCGGUAAAAGCCCGGGGCUCAACCCCGUCCAGCCGUUGAAACUGGCAGUCUCGAGUUGGAGAGAAGUAUGCGGAAUGCGCGGUGUAGCGGUGAAAUGCAUAGAGAUCGCGCAGAACUCCGAUUGCGAAGGCAGCAUGCCGGCUCCACACUGACGCUGAGGCACGAAAGCGUGGGUAUCGAACAGGAUUAGAUACCCCAGUAGUC
RNAcentral lists this ribosomal RNA (459 nucleotides) under uncultured bacterium. RNAcentral's name for it is "partial 16S ribosomal RNA". It matches the Rfam family "Bacterial small subunit ribosomal RNA", at positions 338 to 795 of the family's 1533-position model. The record is from RNAcentral.